RNAcentral lists this small RNA (302 nucleotides) under Histoplasma ohiense. RNAcentral's name for it is "hypothetical lncRNA". The record is from RNAcentral. Lineage: Eukaryota; Fungi; Ascomycota; Eurotiomycetes; Onygenales; Ajellomycetaceae.
UGUGUGGUCUUUGGCAGCGGUGGCGUGGGGUUUGAAAGGGUUGCUUCUGAUCUUCAUCAAAAUCCCCACACUUAUUUAUUUAAAUGAUUAUUUUUACCCCAGUCAAGGCCAGAACUUCCAGGAACACGGUGCGGAACGGAGGCGGAGCGGAGUGUACUUGUGUCGGUUCUAGUAACUUGUGGUUUGCUCUGUAUAGGCCGCGAUACUUCUGAAGGUGGACUGCUGCUGCUUAUGAGACCGAAAGCUCUAGCAGCUUGGAAGAAUCAUUAAUAAAUCAAUCUCCAUUAUAUAUAGCCUGGACC